AACGAGACCAAAUCAGGAAGGGCAGUCGCCUUUUAAAUCUAUCUGAUGACGUGUUGUACCUCUUCCUUGCUAGCUUUCAGAGCCAAGGAGGAGGACAGAUGAGAACAGCAGGCCAGUGGAGCACUUUGAACAGCAGCAACCAGGGGCAAAUGCAUCUUCACAAGGUCCUUUGCUGUUCUGGGAUUGAUUUGCACUUUUCGAAACCAAAGUACGUAAAUCUCAGACAGAACGCAUCUCCUUCCUGAGCGGUAUGACGGCUGCGUAGUCCCAUGGUGUUUAUACUUGCGUACUAUUGUUUGUACAGGUGAACGUGGUACCUUCAGGCAUUUGGAAAUUGCUCCCAAGGAUGAACCAGACUUGUGGAGGUCUACAAUUUAUUUUCUGAGGUAUUGGCUGAUUUUCUUUGGAUUUUCCCAUGAUGUCAAGCAAAGAGGCACUGAGUUUGAAGGUAGGCCUUGCAAUACAUCUACAGGUAUACCUCCAAUUGACUCAAAUUAGACUCACAUCAAAAGACUCACAUCAUUUUCUGGAAUUUUCCAAGCUGUUUGAAGGCACAGUCAACUUAGUGUAUGUAAACUUCUGACCCCCUGGAAUUGUGAUACAGUGAAUUAUAAGUGAAAUAAGCUUUCUGUAAACAAUUGUUGGUAAAAUGACUUGUGUCAUGAAGAAAGUAGAUGUCCUAACUGAGUUUGUUAAAUAAGAAAGUUGUGAAGUGGUUGAAAAAUGAGUUUUAAUGACUCCAACCUAAGUGUAUGUAAACUUCCUCUUCAACUGUAGGUGACCUAGACACAGGCCCAAAACAAGUUAAGCUACCUCAGUAUCCCCUUGGACAUUCUCGAUUGCAAAACUGAAGAGACCCAGCAGACAAGACACAGAGAUAGAUGGCAACAGAAGAGUAGAUGAGGCACAGAACACAGAGACAGCAACACAACAAUAGGAUAUGAUGCAGAGACACCAGAAGAGGAAAGACAAAGAGACUGUAACAAACAAGAACCUGAGACCGCAACAGACGAGGCAACAGACGAGGCAACAGAGAAAGUGACAGAGUAGAUGGAGAGAGAACAGAGGACAGGAUUAGAGAGGAGGGUAGACAAGAGAGACAGCAACAGACGACACAGAA
This is a long non-coding RNA of Oncorhynchus tshawytscha (Chinook salmon), 1120 nucleotides long. Lineage: Eukaryota; Metazoa; Chordata; Actinopteri; Salmoniformes; Salmonidae. The record is from Ensembl.